AAUGAACGUUGGCGGCGUGGAUUAGGCAUGCAAGUCGAGCGAGAACCGUAGCAAUACGGGGACAGCGGCGAAAGGGAGAGUAAUACGUGGAUACCUACCCUCGGGUCCAGGAUAGUUGUGGGAAACUGCAAGUAAUACUGGAUGACAUCUCCGGAUCAAAGGUGUGAUUCCGCCCGGGGAGGGGUCCACGUCCUAUUAGCUAGUUGGUGAGGUAACGGCUCACCAAGGCAAAGAUGGGUACGGGAUGUGAGAGCAUGAUCCCGCUCAUUGGGACUGAGACACUGCCCAGACACCUACGGGAGGCAG
Molecule: ribosomal RNA, 306 nt
Filed under: uncultured Planctomycetota bacterium
Lineage: Bacteria; Pseudomonadati; Planctomycetota
Description: bacterial SSU rRNA
Rfam family: Bacterial small subunit ribosomal RNA
Source: RNAcentral